RNAcentral lists this ribosomal RNA (405 nucleotides) under uncultured soil bacterium. Its description in RNAcentral is "bacterial SSU rRNA". It matches the Rfam family "Bacterial small subunit ribosomal RNA", at positions 258 to 688 of the family's 1533-position model. The record is from RNAcentral.
UAACGGCUCACCAAGGCGAAGAUGGGUAGCCGGCCGAGAGGGCACACGGCCACACUGGCACUGAAACACGGGCCAGACUCCUACGGGAGGCAGCAGUGGGGAAUCUUGCACAAUGGAGGAAACUAUGAUGCAGCGACGCCGCGUGAGCGAUGAAGCCCCCCGGGGUGUAAAGCUCUUUCGACGGGAACGAUAAUGACGGUACCCGAAGAAGAAGCUGCGGCUAACUACGUGCCAGCAGCCGCGGUAAUACGUAGGCAGCAAGCGUUGUUCGGAAUUACUGGGCGUAAAGAGUGUGUAGGCGGUGCUCUAAGUCUGGUGUUCCGGCUCAACUGGGAGGGUGCGCCGGAAACUGGAAUGCUAGAGGGUGGGAGAGGUAAGCGGAAUUCCUGGUGUAGCGGUGAAAUG